Molecule: long non-coding RNA, 130 nt
Organism: Nematolebias whitei (Rio pearlfish)
Lineage: Eukaryota; Metazoa; Chordata; Actinopteri; Cyprinodontiformes; Rivulidae
Exons: 3
Source: RefSeq, a predicted model, not a curated record
AAGAAGAUGGAAUAAAGACAAACAUGAACACAGAGGAAUUGGAUGCAUUCUCAACUGCAAAAGAAGAUGGGACAAAGAAAAGCCAAGACCAAGAAGGAUUGGAUGAAAUCCCCAACGUGACAGAAAAUGU